GAGUAGCGAAGAGCAGUCAGCGAGGUCCUGCAGGUCUAUGGUGGUGAGGGCUGCGCGGGGAGACCGGGAGACACGCGCCGGGCGGGCCCUGAGCCUCUCCGCCAGGCUCGCAGCUAGGACGUCAGAGCCCGGGGGAGAGAAGCUCCUCCGAGCUGUGCGCGCCGCACCCUCCCGGCGCGGGGAACCCGAGGGGUAGCGUGGGUGCCACGGGGCUCACCUGGCAGCGCUGUGGGCUCGGCGUCCGGGGGAUCCUCGUACACCGACACCGGGCUCCCGCCUGUGCAUCCGGGGAAGAACUUCCGCGGAGGAGCGAACUGGCCGGGCACACAAACGUUGAACGCGGGUCAGCCCUCGGGGCACCGAGCGCGCAGACCCCGCCCGGCCCGAAUCAACCGCCCCACCUUCCUCUCCGGCUUCCCCGGCUUGCAGAGCAGCGCCCGGCCCGGCAGUGCCAGCAUUCUGUUGGGGCAGAUGCUGUCGAAGGCCCGACGGCCGGCCGCGCCGCCCCCGCACGCCUGCAUUGUGCCUCCUGCCUCCGGGUGCCGACUGCUCGGAGGCGGCGGCCCGGGCUGGGGCAGCGAUCCACACCCUGCACUCCCUUCAGUGCCUGCAGGCUCCGAAGCCAGCCAGAGGUUGGGGCAGGCGCGUGACCGAGAAGGAGCCGAGGGGCUGCCGAGGAGCCACAAGGCGCACGAAAUAAACGUGGAGUGACACCCGCCAGCGCUAGACUCCGGCCUUUGCGCUCCUGCAGGAUUUAGUAAGGAUGUAGAAUACCGGCAGGGAUGCCCUGGAACAGCCCCCUUAUUACAGAAGCCCCUUCCCUCAAACCUGAACCUUAUCCUGGGUCCUGACUUAUGGAUUUCCACGUGGUCUCUUUUGGCCUGACGCCAAGAGCCCGCCCCGCUCCCCAAGCCCCGCACUCUUCUCGGCAGUGGCGCGUGAGCACAGCCUUUAAAAGACCGUCCGUUAAGAAAAAGUGACACUACGAACCCUCCUCCACUUUCUGAAAACGCCACAGUGGAAAGUACCGAAUCCCCGAAAACCCUGUUCCUGUCUUUCCUAGUGGCCUCAGCGGCCCAUCGCCACGUUUGGCUGGUCUCUUCGCAGUCGUAGUUGCCAUUCCCAAGCCAACACCUCUCCAAGGAAUGGGCAUUUUCCUGAGUCCGAGGCAUCUCCUAGGGAGGGGCAUCCUUAGGCGAGGGACCUUUCUCAGUACCACUCAUAUUCAUCCAAUUUGAACAGUCGUCUGAAAUUGGAAUCUUUGUGUACCCACCCCCCUAUGUUGGGCACCUUGUUUUCCCCUUAUACCUAGUAGUCGUAGUGAAAGAGCCUCUAGUAAGAAACAAGAUACCCUAACAGCGGUGGAAGGUAAUCCAAUGGUAGAGCUGGAAUAGAGUGAGAGACUCUCUGACCCAGGAGUAGAUGCAGAAACUGAAUUGAUGUGAGGUCAGCCAGCUAGAGUUGGUGUGGUAUGGCUCAUGGUGAGGAGCUCUGGCUUUAGGGUCAGAGUGCCUGAGGACCAGGUCCAUGAGCCCUAGGUCUUUAGGAAAAAAAGUUACACUGGCCUCAAUAGAGUUGCUGUGAAGAUGAGUGAGAUUAUUUAUGUAAAGUGACUGGUGCUUAGUAUGGGUAAAUUAGUGAUUUUUUAAAAGCCUUUUCAGCUGUAUUUCCAGCUUCCCACAACUUGUUCCUAGCCCUGUCUCCUGUUUCCUCUGGUUUCUGAGUAGCACGACCACUAGCCAGUCCAUCUCCAUCUCCAUCCCCAUCCUCACCCACUUUCCAGCCUUUAAAAUGAGUAGGGAAGCUCUUAGCUGAGUUUUGGGGCGAUCUCCACACAUGCAGAUCGUCACAAAAUUUCCAGGAUAGGCCCAUUUUCCAAAUAUUCGUCAAUGAGUUCUAAGUUGGAGUAGACAAAAAUAUGGGCAUUGCACAUUAUCUGUUGUAACAGGAACUGGAAUAGCAUGAUUAUAUGACUCCUAGUGUGGAUGAUUCUGGAACCAGUAACUCAUAGCAGUCUUGGCUGAUUAAUGGAGCAGAUAUUGGUGAAGACAACUCCGCGCAAAGUCACUCUUUUGCCUGGGGACCAGACCCCAACCCCUUACAACCAAGCAGAGGGCCCUAAUAAUUUGUUAUUUGAAACAGGUGAUAUGAUCUUCCUCCUCCCUUUUCACCAUCACAGAGCAGCUUUUACACAAAUAGCUUGGGGAUCACCACGUCCUUCUUCCACAGCCAAGGAGGAGAAAGUUCCUAGAAAGUUUAGCAUAGCAAUAUGUCAGAAGAGGCAUUCAAGGGGCCCAGAGUAAGGCACUCCUGGCUCCGAGAACACCUGGAAGACACACUUUGAGAGAAGUGCAAAGAAGUUUCUCUAAAUUUGAGUUUGCUUUUUAUUUGUAUUUGUCAUACAUUUUGAUAUACCCUAGGUGCAGGGGAACAUGACAGAUUUUCCCCCAAAAAAUUAUCACUUUUUUCAACCAUACAGAAAAUUUGAAAAAACAGUACGAUGAACAACCAUAUGUUCAACCCCACACAAAUUGUUAUUUUCCCAUAUUUGCUCUCGUUUCUUUGCUCCAAGUUUUUCUGCAUAGCCCCUGUCCUCCCAUCACUGUGCAGGUUACCACUAGCCUUUAUUUCUUGAGGGCUUCCUAUGUGCUGGGGGACCAGUAUGGACCAUCUCAUUAGAGCUAUACUUCCACCCUACUAAAUAGGCCCUAUUGAUAUUCCCAUUUUAUUUUUUUAUUUUGAGACGGAGUCUCACUCUGUCGCCCAGGCUGGAGUGCAGUGUUGCAAUUUCAGCUCACUGCAAGCUCCGCCUCCCGGGUUCACGCCAUUCUCCUGCCUCAGCCUCCCGAGUAGCUGGGACUACAGGCACCUGCCACUAUGCCCAGCUAAUUUUUUGUAUUUUUAGUAGAGAUGGGGUUUCACCGUGUUAGCCAGGAUGGUCUCGAUCUCUUGACCUCGUGAUCCGCCCGCCUUGGCCUCCCAAAGUGCUGGGAUUACAGGCGUGAGCCACCGCGCCCGGCCGAUAUUCCCAUUUUAUAGAUGAAACGUAGGCAUAGAUAUGUGACUUGCUUAAGGUCACCUGGCAAAUUGGAUACAGAACCCACUUACUGAAUCACUAUACUACCUUAUAACACGUAAACUUAAUCUCAUUUAAGCUUUUCAAUCUCAUUUAGACUGACAACAACCUUGAUAUCAAUUGUAGAGCUCAGAGAGGAUAUGAAAUUUGCUAGAGGUGACAGAGCUGAGAGAUUCAGUGCCUGCAUCAGAUUCGUAACAGUGAGACUGAAGACAAUAUGACAGGCGGAGUCAAAACUCCGGCAAGCCUCUGUCUCAUUUCUCAAUUUGGUUUUCUCAUCUGUAAAACGAUUCCUGUAACGUGACUGAGGUACAGACUGCGCUGGCUCUCCAGAUGUGUUCUCUAUAGUCCCUACUGAAUGGGGAGCACUGAGUAAAUAACUGCCACCUAUCUCAGGAAGAGGGUGUUUUGAGAAUUACCAGAAACCUGUAAGUGGGGGACAUUUAGCAGUGUGGCUAAGAGUGGGACUCUAGACUCAGAUCCCGGCUACUCCACUGUUGUUUAAUGGUUCUGUGCUCCAGCAUCCUCCUCUGAAAAAUGGGAUAAUAGACUCUGCUCCAUAGAGUUGCUGGAAGAAUGAAAUAAAUGCUGAACACAGUA
Homo sapiens (human) is the source of this 3676-nucleotide long non-coding RNA. RefSeq annotates it as MCIDAS antisense RNA 1. The transcript has 2 exons. The record is from RefSeq and is a predicted model, not a curated record. NCBI's taxonomy places the organism in Eukaryota, Metazoa, Chordata, Mammalia, Primates, Hominidae.